RNAcentral lists this long non-coding RNA (4992 nucleotides) under Panax ginseng (ginseng). Its description in RNAcentral is "long non-coding RNA (PGIN_LNC012989)". Lineage: Eukaryota; Viridiplantae; Streptophyta; Magnoliopsida; Apiales; Araliaceae. The record is from RNAcentral.
GUUCUACACCCAUAUUCAAGCUUCAACUAGCUUGACAGCUUUUUGGUUACCUUCUUGAAAUUCAAGCUAGAAAUAAUAAAUAUAUUAAGUUGUAGCUAAACUGCGAACUGUGCUAAGCAUGCUUGCAGAUACGGGUAAGAUGUCAUAAACUCAGAGAGCAACUACUAUACUAUGAUAAUCUCAGAGAACAAUUACACAAGUUAGUCUAUAGGCAGAGCAAGACAAUGCUCCAUUUAAAUACAAACCAAAUACAGACCAUUCCUAUAUCCUAAGUGGCAUGUCAAAGAAACAUAAUUUUUGGGUGAUCCUCAUUCCUACCAACUUAUCAAUAUUGAGUUGCCCCUGUGGAAGUUAAUGCGCCAAUAUUUCUAUCACUAGCUAUCUUGAAUUUAUUUAAAUACAUAAAAUCCAUUAGCAUAUUAUUAUUAAUUUAUUACCUAUCCUGCAAGGCUGCAACAAGCCACUAAUCAACAAACUUGCCAAGAAGUCGAAGAAUUUACCAACAUUUUCAUUAUCUUUUUGGACAGAGAAAAAUAAGGAUAUCCAUAUGAUUUAAUCUUCCCACACCAUGCAUUCAUUAUAGUACCUCAAAACAAUAUCGUGACUGCCUGAUACGUUAUAUUUUUAAGUUAUUAUCGUGAAUUCAAUUAGCAUAAUCAAUAUACACCAAAAAUAUUUUAAGUGAGACCAAAUCCAUCCCACUACUUGCUCCUGCAUUCCAUACUUAUAGUUGAAUAAAAACCCUUUACACUUGGCUUUAAAGAAAAUUUUACUAAAAGACGACAGUAAAGAAACUUCACAAAUUAAAAUAUCAAUCCAUGACACUUUUGAAUAAGAUACUUAAGAGUUAAGAAGGCAUGAUUGCUGGUAGUAUGUAAAUGUCAUCAUGUCAAGAUUGUACUGCCAAUCAUUUCAAGAUUAUUGACACUAUCAACUCAUAAAAGAUAUAAUCUGGAUAAGAAAAUAAAAAGGCUUUUACGAUAUCUUGAACAUCUCACAGGCAGCGUAUAAUGAAGUGCGACAUCAUAUAUAUAUGUAUAUGUAAGAUCAUAAGACUGAAAUAUAGAGUGACUGAACAUAAUACCAAUCACACUAUUGUAAUUAAUGAACUAAGAAAUCCAAGAAAAAUGGUUUAAGCUAUGAUUUAUCACAAAUAAAGGAUCAGACAUAGCUCACAAAUCACAACCAAAUGAUGCUACCUUUGAGCACCAGGAAGUUGACAUGGUAAAAUCUCUUGGAUAUGUUUAUUAUGCUUGGAUGAAUAUAAUCGAUAUAAUUCAACCAGCGGAUACCCUCAAUAUGCUAAUGGAAAAUAUAUAUUCCCCUAAUUCUCUAAUCUGUGGCAGCUAGUUGGUCUUACUGAUAUUAGAAUUUGAUUGGGAUGCAAGAAAUAGCCUCAAGUCAAGUGAAGAUUACAAAACAAACUCAUCUUUGAACAAUCACGAGACACCAUGUUUCUCUUGAAUGCCAAAAAACCGAAUCUCAAUGGUGACAGGCAUGAUACAGAAAUGUUACAAACAAGAUUUGAUAGACCACCUAACUAACAUCAUUUAAUGAUGUUUCCUCUAUAAGUUUAUUUAUAUUACGAAACCUACAUACUAUGAUCUAUAUCUUAUACAUUUGUACAUAUGUGCUCUCAGUAGCUCCUUGUAUUUCAAAUUGAGUGCUCUCACACUCCCAUUCCUACUCUUGCUUCCACGUUCUGAUUUGGGCAUGAGAUUGUAAAGUCAUUAUCUUUUACAGAUUUCCAUGUUCCACAACCAAGCUCAAGAUCCCUUUUACCUUUACGGAUGUUAACAUUGCCAUCUCUAUAAAAGAUUCUCCAUUUUUGUAAAUCAAAGAGGACACAUUAAGUGAAGUUUAAGUUGAUACUCAUUUUACAAUUUUGGGUGAAACCGAGAUUAUAUACAAGGUUACAGAUCCACUCAUUUUAAUGCUGGACCAUAGGGGAACACCAGAACUACACUAAACUUUAUUGGACUUGACGCAACCUUAAUCCUAAAAGCAGGUGAGGCAUUAAUAUUAAUGAACUAAAAGACCAUGAGAUAAAUUAUAAGGGCAACUGGAAAUUCUAGAAACAUACAAAUGACAAAUCAAUCAUCGCUCCUCGUUUAAAUGUUUGACAGAACAUCAAAUAUUCUUUCUCAGAAAAUGAAACAGAAUUCCACAUGGCAACCAUUUUAUGGAAAGGUAAUAUUGUGGCCGCAAAAAAAAUAUAUAUAUAUAUUAUAAAGGGCAGCUAAACUAGAAACUUACAAAUGAUAUGAAGAUCACAUUGAUCUCGAUUUAUUAAUUGUUUAUCCAAAAGCAAUUGAAACAGAAUUCCACACAACAUUCUUUCAUGUAACCUGCAAAUUGCCAAAACUUAAUUAUUAAAAAAACCAAAAGACAUAGCAAGGGAACAGCAAUACAUAAAAUCUAACUAAUAGACAUCACAUUAUCCUUCCAUAAGCUAAUGUCAUGACUGCCAGCUAUGCCUUUAUAAUCAAUUACCUUAAUGCUGAUGUUGUUAACAAGUGGCCACUGAAAGUCUGAAACUCUGUUAGUUCAUCGUAGUUCUGAAUGUUUUUGAUUCCUCAUAGUAUGCCUUCACAACCAAAGAUAUUAGGACAAUAAAGAUUGUGUCAUAACACAGCACUCGUAUUUAACCCAUUACUUUGAUUAGUACGAGUACGACAAAUUCAAAAACACAGAAGUCAGGGACUUUAUUCCCAUCGUGACAACGAGUAAGACAUAAUCAUCAUUGUAACUUCAUAUAAUGCCAAUGAAGCUGGCAAAGCAAUAUACACAGUUUAAUACAAUUCGUUAACUCAUGUCAACCAAUUACUGACAUAAAAUCCAUUUGGAUUUCCAAAAUAAAUUGCUGACAAAAUAAGUCCCAGACAGAAAUAUCUCCUGGGUACAAAUUACAGUACAACGUUCUAAAGACAAUAAUCAAAAUGGAUAACAAAAGUCAGCAACCUUUCAACAAGAACACCGACUUCUGGUUAAGGAUCCUACAACGGAAGAUUUUAUUUUGUAGUGGCUUUUCAAAUAAACUUCUCUUUCACUUAUCCUUCGUAUAUGAAAUCCAACUUCUCAAAAAACGUAUUCAAAUUCAUUGCUUUGUUUUGUACGAAUACGACAAAUUUAAGAUCAUAAAGGCUACUACCAGUAUUCCCACCGAAAUAGCGGCUGAAACAUAAUCAUUAUUGUAAAUUCAUAUAAUUCCAACGAAGCUGGCAGUGCAAUCUACGCCAUUUAAAACAAGCCGUAAACUCAUGUCAACUUCAUGACAGCCCUAAAUAACAACCAAUUGGAUUUCUCCCAAUAAAAGAAUCGCAAACAGUACAACCAUCAAUGAAGAAGCAUAUCCAUCUCCUGAGGAAAUUUUACAGUCCAACUUUAUAAUGACACAAAGUAACUAAUAAAUUAUGAAAUGGAUAAGAAAAGUCAGCCACUUCUAGACAAAAGCAACAAAUGUUUCCUGUUAAGGAUCCGACAAGAUAUUACUUUUUAGUGUUUUUUCAUAUAAAGUUCUCUUUCAUUUAUUUCUUCAGAUAUGAAAUCCAAAUGCUCAGUUUCGUGAACAAGGAAUAAUGCCAACAAGAAUCAAAAACAGUUCCAUUAAUUAACGAACAGUGACACAUAAGGACACCUUUCACCCACCAAUAGAAGGAAAACAAAACAAGAUUCUAUUUUCUACAAUCGCAAGCCACACAUAUUUGGCAAUCUAUGAAGCCAUGAAUAAGGAAAUGGAAUGCGGCUGACAAGCAUCCAUAACUAUAGUUCAUACAUAUAUAGAAAAGUAUAGUGGUCGUCACUUGUCAUCAUUGAUUCCAUAAAAAGAACUGCAUUGUACUGCUCAUUAAGUUGCUUUUAUCGGGGCCUUCCAUGGCCGCCAAAGCAUUUUCAAUGUCUUUAUGAUUAAAAUGGUGCACCAGAAUAGUCCUAAAUGUUUAUUUUAUCUUGAAAACCCUAACUUUUGUCACAUUCCCUGAAUCCACGCAAGUCAAAUCCAUGACAUUACAUUCAGCUACAGAAAUAGCAAGCAAGGGAAGCAGAGAAACUGACUCUUUUUUGUUUGUUACCAUUUCUGUUAUCUUUUUCAGUUUUUCUUCUCUGAAAUUUCUGAAAAUUAGCACACACUUGGUUAUCAUUUUCAAUAAAAAUUCUCAAAUAAUUCUUAGUAAAAUUAUGAAAAUUUUGAGGGGGGAAAAUAAUAAUUUGCUUCUAUCUGAAAUGCACAAUCAUUUCCAUCACAGUACAUUGUAGCAAGCUUUUGGAAUAUUUUAGCAACAUUAUAUGUUAGUUCCACUCUGAAAACAUGUUUCCAGUGUUUUUUUUUUGAAAUGGGGGAUUUGUAAAAUAAAAACAAAAAGGAAAAGCCAUCAAGCACAGUUUUUAAAUUUUAAAAGAAAUUAAAAAAGAUUUAAGAACCCUACCCAAAAAAAUCCUAAAUAUCUGCAAACCCUAACUAUACCAAUGUCAAUUUAUAUCUCAGAACCCUAAUGCCUACAGCCUACUCCAGCAAAGUUCCAUGCAAUGAGGAUUGUAUUAUUGCAGUAACAGAAACGUUAGCUUAUACAUAUCACAGUCAAAGCAGAUAGACUAAUCAAAAUCAACAACAAAAAUCUUUUAUCCAACAAACAUACAAAUCAAACCUCCAGAUUUAAGUUCUACCUCCCUCAGCUUCAGCUUCAGCCUCAUAAACCAGCAACAGCUAGCAGCUCUCUUAACCUGCUAAUCACCACAUUUUCAGAACAAAAUGUUAAUCAAACUUACAGCAUUCACUUUCACGAUUGAACGAAAAACCAACCAAGUCAUAAAUAAAAAUAAAACUCACAAAUUUUACUCGAACAACCAAACAUUUCCGAUACCUCUUUGUUUCCGGUUCAAAUUUGCAUGUCAUUGAAUGUUCUAGUCAUUGAGAGAAAAAUAGACAUGGUACAUUGGAUUGCGUACACCUCCGGUCACCUGCAAUGAACAGAAUUCGAACUCGAUCGUUUCACA